CCUUGUACACACCGCCCGUCACACCACGAGAGUUGUCUGUACCCAAAGUCGUUUUAGCUAACCCGCAAGGGAGGCGGAUGCCUAAGGUAUGGGAAUGAUUGGGGUG
RNAcentral lists this ribosomal RNA (106 nucleotides) under uncultured bacterium. RNAcentral describes it as "partial 16S ribosomal RNA". It matches the Rfam family "Bacterial small subunit ribosomal RNA", at positions 1379 to 1482 of the family's 1533-position model. The record is from RNAcentral.